AUUGGGAUUGAGACACGGCCCAAACUCUUUAGGGAGGCUGCAGUGAGGAAUUUUCCGCAAUGGGCGAAAAUGCCUGACGGAGCAAUACUACGUGGGGGAUGCGCCACUUGUGGUGCGAAGGGCCGACCGGCCCGUAAACCUCUUUUCUCAAUGAAGAUUACGUAGACGGUAUUUGAGGAAUAAGCAUCGGCUAACUUCGUGCCAGCAGCCGCGGUAAUACGAGGGAUGCAAGCGUUAUCCGGAAUUACUGGGCGUAAAGCGUCUGCAGGUGGACCGAUAAGUCUAUGGUUAAAGAUCAAGGCUCAACUUUGGGAGGGCUGUAGAAACUGUCGGACUAGGGUAUAUAUAAGGGUAGAGGGAAUUUCUAGUGUAGCGGUGAAAUGCGUAGAUAUUAGAAGGACCACCAGUGGCGAAGGCACUCUACUAGGCAAUUACCGACACUCAUAGACGAGAGCUAGGGGAGCGAAAGGGAUUAGAUACCCCUGUAGUCCUAGCCGUAAACGAUGGAUACUAGAUUUUGUUUAUGCAGCUUCGUAGCUUACGCAUUAAGUAUCCCGCCUGGGUAGUACGCUCGCAAGGGUGAAACUCAAAGGAAUUGACGGGGGCCCGCACAAGCGGUGGAGCAUGUGGUUUAAUUCGAUGCAACGCGAAGAACCUUACCUGGGCUUGACAUUCUUGCGAACCUCUUAGGAAAUUUGAGGGUGCCCUUCGGGAAUUGCAUCGAUACGCGAGGAACCUUACCAGGACUUAAAUGUAACGGGACAGAUCUAGAGAUAGACCCUUCUUCGGACUCAUAACACGAAGAACCUUACCAGGAUUUGACUGCUUAUGAAUCUUUCAGAAGUGAGAGAGUGCCUUAGGGAACGUAAGCACAGGUGGUGCAUGGCUGUCGUCAGCUCGU
Molecule: ribosomal RNA, 901 nt
Filed under: metagenome
Description: bacterial SSU rRNA
Rfam family: Bacterial small subunit ribosomal RNA
Source: RNAcentral